RNAcentral lists this ribosomal RNA (253 nucleotides) under uncultured bacterium. RNAcentral's name for it is "partial 16S ribosomal RNA". It matches the Rfam family "Bacterial small subunit ribosomal RNA", at positions 524 to 776 of the family's 1533-position model. The record is from RNAcentral.
UACGUAGGGGGCAAGCGUUGUCCGGAUUUAUUGGGCGUAAAGAGCGUGUAGGCGGCCAGAUAGGUCCGUUGUGAAAACUCGAGGCUCAACCUCGAGACGCCGAUGGAAACCAUUUGGCUAGAGUCCGGAAGAGGAGAGUGGAAUUCCUGGUGUAGCGGUGAAAUGCGCAGAUAUCAGGAAGAACACCCGUGGCGAAGGCGGCUCUCUGGUACGUGACUGACGCUGAGACGCGAAAGCGUGGGGAGCGAACAGG